GGGCCCGUAGCCUAGAACGGACAGGGCGCCGACCCAUACGUGGGGCGUAAGCCUUCGGAGCCGGAGGCCGUGGGUUCAAGUCCCACCGGGCCCG
Molecule: transfer RNA, 94 nt
Filed under: Candidatus Caldarchaeum subterraneum
Lineage: Archaea; Thermoproteati; Nitrososphaerota; Candidatus Caldarchaeales; Candidatus Caldarchaeaceae
Description: tRNA-OTHER
Rfam family: tRNA
About the family: Transfer RNA (tRNA) molecules are approximately 80 nucleotides in length. Their secondary structure includes four short double-helical elements and three loops (D, anti-codon, and T loops). Further hydrogen bonds mediate the characteristic L-shaped molecular structure. tRNAs have two regions of fundamental functional importance: the anti-codon, which is responsible for specific mRNA codon recognition, and the 3' end, to which the tRNAs corresponding amino acid is attached (by aminoacyl-tRNA synthetases). tRNAs cope with the degeneracy of the genetic code in two manners: having more than one tRNA (with a specific anti-codon) for a particular amino acid; and 'wobble' base-pairing, i.e. permitting non-standard base-pairing at the 3rd anti-codon position.
Source: RNAcentral